AGUGAACGCUGACGGCAUGCUUAACACAUGCAAGUCGCACGGGCAGCAAUGUCAGUGGCGGACGGGUGAGUACCGCGUAGGAAUGUGUCCAGAGGUGGGGGACAACCUUGGGAAACUGAGGCUAAUACCGCAUAUGAGCUGAGGCUCAAAGCAGCGAUGCGCCUUUGGAGUAGCCUGCGUCCGAUUAGCUAGUUGGUGGGGUAAAGGCCUACCAAGGCGACGAUCGGUAGCUGGUCUGAGAGGACGACCAGCCACACUGGGACUGAGACACGGCCCAGACUCCUACGGGAGGCAGCAGUGGGGAAUAUUGGACAAUGGGCGCAAGCCUGAUCCGGCAAUGCCGCGUGUGUGAAGAAGGUCUUCGGAUCGUAAAGCACUUUCGACGGGGACGAUGAUGACGGUACCCGUAGAAGAAGCCCCGGCUAACUUCGUGCCAGCCGCCGCAGUAA
Molecule: ribosomal RNA, 449 nt
Filed under: uncultured bacterium
Lineage: Bacteria
Description: partial 16S ribosomal RNA
Rfam family: Bacterial small subunit ribosomal RNA
Source: RNAcentral